GGACGAACCUCUGGUAUGUCAGUUGUACCGCCAGGUGCAUGGCUGAUUGGCUACGUUCGGGAGGGAUAACCGCUGAAAGCAUCUAAGCGGGAAGCUUGUUUCGUGAUGAGUUCUCCUGGCACCCUUUUGGGUGUGUGAGGUUCCCUGUAGAUGACGGGGUUGAUAGGCCGGGUAUGGAAGCGCUGUAAGGUGUGGAGUUGACUGGUACUAAUAGACCGAAGGCUUACA
This 228-nucleotide ribosomal RNA is filed under the name Rothia sp. HSID18067. Its description in RNAcentral is "partial 23S ribosomal RNA". It matches the Rfam family "Bacterial large subunit ribosomal RNA", at positions 2699 to 2925 of the family's 2925-position model. Lineage: Bacteria; Bacillati; Actinomycetota; Actinomycetes; Micrococcales; Micrococcaceae. The record is from RNAcentral.